This 496-nucleotide ribosomal RNA is filed under the name uncultured bacterium. RNAcentral describes it as "partial 16S ribosomal RNA". It matches the Rfam family "Bacterial small subunit ribosomal RNA", at positions 29 to 507 of the family's 1533-position model. The record is from RNAcentral.
AUGAACGCUGGCGGCGUGCCUAAUACAUGCAGGUCGAGCGAACAGACGAGGAGCUUGCUCCUCUGACGUUAGCGGCGGACGGGUGAGUAACACGUGGAUAACCUACCUAUAAGACUGGGAUAACUUCGGGAAACCGGAGCUAAUACCGGAUAAUAUAUUGAACCGCAUGGUUCAAUAGUGAAAGACGGUUUUGCUGUCACUUAUAGAUGGAUCCGCGCCGCAUUAGCUAGUUGGUAAGGUAACGGCUUACCAAGGCAACGAUGCGUAGCCGACCUGAGAGGGUGAUCGGCCACACUGGAACUGAGACACGGUCCAGACUCCUACGGGAGGCAGCAGUAGGGAAUCUUCCGCAAUGGGCGAAAGCCUGACGGAGCAACGCCGCGUGAGUGAUGAAGGUCUUCGGAUCGUAAAACUCUGUUAUUAGGGAAGAACAAAUGUGUAAGUAACUAUGCACGUCUUGACGGUACCUAAUCAGAAAGCCGCGGCUAACUACGUG